ACAUGCCUAGAACCAGCUGUUCAAGAUGACUCACCAAUUGUCUCUUUCUAGGUGAUGACAGGUUGUGCCAGGCUGACGGAACCAACCAGCACAGUGAGGAUGUGGAAAAAUGGAAGCCCUCAUACACUGAUACUGUAAAGCUAAAACGACACAGCUGUUUUGGAAAGAAAGAAGCCUAGAAGAAAACGUGUACCACAGUUUUAGAGCAUCCUUGAACAUCUGUGGCAUACCCUUUUCAGCACCAUGGACAGAUCCUCCAAGAGCUGCCAUACUUUAGGAACAAGCAAGUGAAUGGCUAACCAAGGAAAUCAUCUAUGACAGUAGAAGCCCAGACCUGUAUCCUGGAUGUACUCAAGGAUUAAGAUCGACUCAACUGAAACCCUUUGUGGCCAGAAUGAGAUUCUUGAGCAUGCUUCAGAUUGAUGCAAUUUCUCAAGAAAUGGACUAGUUUCUAGAGGACAUGAAGAAAAUUGCCAACUGUGCAUCUGAUCUUUUAUUCUCUGGAAUUUGGACCCAAUCUGCAAAUUCCACUCCCUUACACAUAAUUCUAUGUGAUCAUUACUGUCAACAAAGUUUAAGAGGUAUGCCGAUUCUACUCCCAUAAAAUGUUGUUUAUAAUUCUGUAAGAUUUAUCACUUCAAAAUGAGAAACUGUAUGUAAGGAAGACAGGUACCUCAGCAGUUAAAUGUGUUCUCUGAGCUUGCUACUCUUGCAUAGGACCUAAGAUACUUUCCCACCACCUAAAAUGGGGCAGCUCACAAUAGACUAUAACACUUGCUCCAGGAUACCUAAUGCCCUUUUCUGGUUGCCAUGGGCAC
This is a long non-coding RNA of Peromyscus leucopus (white-footed mouse), 818 nucleotides long. RefSeq lists it as uncharacterized. The transcript has 3 exons. Lineage: Eukaryota; Metazoa; Chordata; Mammalia; Rodentia; Cricetidae. The record is from RefSeq and is a predicted model, not a curated record.